GGGGUGGCGACUGGCUCCCGUGUCUGAGGGGCUCCUGCUUGUCAGGUUCUAGGGUUGAGGAGGUGUUUGGAGUCACCUUCGGGUCAGCUCUCUGCCUUAGUCUACUUUAGGAUCAACUUUCUGAAACCCGCUAAUUGGGUCGGUGUUGAUAGGGUGGUACGUCAUUGCACAAAUUAACUGUGAAGUUGUUGCUUUUUACUUUUGGGCAUUUGUGAUUUUGAUAUAUAGUACUGUGCAGUCCAGAGUUUAAUAAUUUAUUAAGGCUGGUACUUUCAUUUUCGUUUGCCUUAUGGUUAAAAAAUCUUAAUCUUUUUAAUUCAUACGAAGCUGCGUGUAUUCAUAGUACUCAUCAAUUUGAUAUAACUUAAAGGUGUAGUGCCAUUUUUUCUUUUUCUCAAGAUAAUUUAAAAUGUUUUUAAAAAUUCUCAAAUGGAGUCACCGAUAUAAAAACUGUAAUAGAAAAAUCAGUAGGAAUAGACCAAAACUAUUUUAGUAAUUAAAGACUAGAAAGUACUUUUCAACCUAUGGAAUGGGAACGGGAGUUUAAAAAAUCUGUUGCAAAGUGUAAUUAUUUCACUGUGCAGUGUUGUAGUCCUGGUGUAUGUAGCUACAUGGGCUGUAGGAACACAUAUUUGUGAAGAGCCACACAUUUGUCACUCAAUACAAAGGAAGGCUCAGUGUAUGUUUUGUGAUUCGGGAAAUCUUUUCUCUUAGUUCUCUCAAGAAAACUAUGCUUUCAGAAGUAUUGGAAAUGUAUUGAGAGUGUAUAGGCAUACUUGGAAACCCUUUCUCUAGUUUUUUUCAUGAAAGACAGUUGGUGAAGAUCUGUUUCUCUUACACACUGGUGGUUGGCAGCAUUAAAUACCUAUUAUGUAAAAUUAUAUAGGGUCCAGUUAAUGCAGCUUCUGCCAUAUUUCAAAGGUUGAUAUCAGUAGUUGAAGAAAUGAUUCAGGCUUUUGAUCGACACAUUCUUUUCAUCUUAAAGUGUUAUGUAUGUAUAACUCUGGUCUGUGAAUGUUUCUCAUUUGCAGUUUUUUCCUCCAGUAUUUUACUAUGAAAAAUUUCAAACAAUGCAGGAAAGUUGGAUUGUGUGCUGAGUACUCACCACUUACACAGCAGUAACAUUUUCAAGACGGCUUUUAUAUGGUAUAUAUAUCCUCAGGAACAGAGGAACUGAAAUUAUCAAGUUUGAAAACCAGUAUUAUAUAAAUAUAUGUGUAUCACACCAAAAUGUUGUGGAUUACUCAUUUCUCUUUGUAGAUGGAAA
RNAcentral lists this long non-coding RNA (1267 nucleotides) under Sus scrofa (pig). Its description in RNAcentral is "lncRNA (ENSSSCG00045015010.1)". The record is from RNAcentral. Lineage: Eukaryota; Metazoa; Chordata; Mammalia; Artiodactyla; Suidae.